AAUUUAUUUUAUUAGAAGAAAUUUUUAAUUUUUUGAUUAUUUUGAUUUAAUAAGGAGAAUUCUAUGGGGAUGAGCUGGUAGAAUUGACUUAAAUUUUAAAAAUUGAAAAUGAGUAGUAGGAUUAAAAUUUUCUUUCUUUUUAGUAUUUUAUAAUUUAUCAUUAUUUAAUUAAUAUUUUUUAUUUUAUUAGGUUUUUUAUAAAAAUUUUAUAUUAAAUUUUUUAUUUUAAGUAAUAAUUAUGUAAUUAGUAAAGUUAUUUUUAAAUUUAUUUAAUUAGUGAGGUAAGUUUAAGGAAUUCGGCAAUUAGUUUUUCGCCUGUUUAAUAAAAACAUGGUCUUUUGAUUUUGAUUUAAGAUUUGACCUGCCCGCUGAAGUUUUGAAUGGCCGCGGUAAUUUAACCGUGCGAAGGUAGCAUAAUCAAUAGUUUUUUAAUUGGAAGCUGGAAUGAAUGGUUGGACGAGAAAGCUACUGUCUCAAUYUUAAUUUUUUUUGAAUUUUAUUUUUGAGUUAAAAAGCUUAAAUUUAGUUAAAAGACGAGAAGACCCUAUAGAGUUUUAUUUAAGAAUUUUUUUGCUAAUUAAGAUAAAUUGAAAAAUUUUUUAAAUUUUGUUGGGGUGACAUUAAGAUUUAAAAAACUCUUAAAAAUUAAUUUCAAUAAUUAUUGUUUUUUUGAUCCAAUUUUUUUGAUUAAUAGAUUAAAUUACCUUAGGGAUAACAGCGUUAUUUUUUUUGAGAGCUCUUAUCGAAAAAAAAGAUUGCGACCUCGAUGUUGGAUUAAAAUGAAC
RNAcentral lists this ribosomal RNA (785 nucleotides) under Heterocerus mollinus. RNAcentral describes it as "partial 16S ribosomal RNA". The stretch from base 283 to 482 matches the Rfam family "Archaeal large subunit ribosomal RNA", at positions 1798 to 2109 of the family's 2987-position model. The record is from RNAcentral. Lineage: Eukaryota; Metazoa; Arthropoda; Insecta; Coleoptera; Heteroceridae.